RNAcentral lists this ribosomal RNA (253 nucleotides) under uncultured bacterium. RNAcentral describes it as "partial 16S ribosomal RNA". It matches the Rfam family "Bacterial small subunit ribosomal RNA", at positions 524 to 776 of the family's 1533-position model. The record is from RNAcentral.
UACGGAGGGUGCAAACGUUGCUCGGAAUCAUUGGGCGUAAAGCGCACGUAGGCGGCUCGUUAAGUCGGGUGUGAAAGCCCUGGGCUCAACCCAGGAAGUGCAUUCGAAACUAGCGAGCUUGAAUAUGGAAGAGGGUCGCGGAAUUCCCGGUGUAGAGGCGAAAUUCGUAGAUAUCGGGAGGAACACCAGUGGCGAAGGCGACUCACUGGACAUGUAUUGACGCUGAGGUGCGAAAGCGUGGGGAGCAAACAGG